RNAcentral lists this ribosomal RNA (372 nucleotides) under uncultured organism. RNAcentral's name for it is "bacterial SSU rRNA". It matches the Rfam family "Bacterial small subunit ribosomal RNA", at positions 526 to 896 of the family's 1533-position model. The record is from RNAcentral.
CGUAGGGACCAAGCGUUGUUCGGAUUUACUGGGCGUAAAGGGCGCGUAGGCGGCGCGGUAAGUCACUUGUGAAAUCUCCGAGCUUAACUCGGAACGGCCAAGUGAUACUGCAGUGCUAGAGUGCAGAAAGGGCAAUCGGAAUUCUUGGUGUAGCGGUGAAAUGCGUAGAUAUCAAGAGGAACACCUGAGGCGAAGGCGGGUUGCUAGGCUGACACUGACGCUGAUGCGCGAAAGCCAGGGGAGCAAACGGGAUUAGAUACCCCGGUAGUCCUGGCCCUAAACGAUGAAUACUUGGUGUCUGGAGUUUUAAUGCUCCGGGUGCCGUCGCUAACGUUUUUAGUAUUCCGCCUGGGGAGUACGCUCGCAAGAGUG